AACCUGGGCCCCCUGCAUUGGGAACGCAGAGUCUUAACCACUGUGCCACCAGAGAAGUCCCUAAGCUCUUAUUUUUAAAGAAGGAGUUAAAAGGAGAACUCUUCAGCCUUGUGCUGUUUAAAGGAUGGUUUUGCAACUGAGCCCACCAUUCCAACAGACAUAUUUUGAAACUUUUCUUUGGGCAAAUAGAUGAAUUAAAUAAUCUUGUAUUUAUGUAACUUCCUUUAAAUUAACGUUGAUGCCUUCUCAGCCUUCAUUUUUGAAAUAAUUUGUUGCAAAUUUGGGGUGAUUUUAAUGGUAACAGAUUUGCUAAAUAAGAAUAAUACAUAUAUUGUUGAAAGACAGAGAUACUAAAUCUGUAUACAAAGAUUAUUUUAUUUUGUGAUACUUUGGACAUUUCAGAAAUCACAAUUACUUUGUUAGUAAAUAAUUCUUUAAAGUAAUUGCUCCUUAGUUUAUUUGUACAGUAGCCUAAAAUGAGCCUGGAUGUUUUUCUAGGGCAGCUAGCUUAUUAAACUCUCAGUGGAUUUUAAUUUUCUUAAGUUUAUGCUUGCUUUGCUUGUUAAAUUUAAUUUAAGGUUGAAGUUAAUGUCCUAUGGAAGUAAAUGCAGUGACAUCAGAUUCCAAAAUUAUAAGGUAAUGAAAUGGCCCAUCAGAAACAGCAACUUACACCAUAUUUUAAAAGUAAACCAGGGAAGGAUGUUCUGAGCAUGAGGAAAACCUGUGUCAAAUCAUUAACCAAAGUUCUGGUUAAAUAGUAGACAACUUUAUUUUUAAUUACUAAAUGCUUCAGAUAUGGAGAAGACCUUUUUGUAAAGUGUGGUGCUCAUAGCACCACCUGUUACUCCUAGAUGUAACAGGUGUUAACGUUUUGCCACGUUUACACCAGAUUUCUGUCACUUGUUUUUAAGAGAUAAAUGGUCCCAGAUACAAUGUCUGGAUGUCUUCUCCCUUCCUAUUUCCUCAGAGGUCUCUGUAAGCUGAAUUUGUCGUGUUUCAUUCCUUUGUAUGUUUUUAUAUAUUGCGAGAAUCCGUAAGCAAUGUAUAGUUUGUAUUUUGGAUUAAAUAUUUAUAUAAAUGCAA
Aethalodelphis obliquidens (Pacific white-sided dolphin) is the source of this 1083-nucleotide long non-coding RNA. RefSeq lists it as uncharacterized. The transcript has 2 exons. NCBI's taxonomy places the organism in Eukaryota, Metazoa, Chordata, Mammalia, Artiodactyla, Delphinidae. The record is from RefSeq and is a predicted model, not a curated record.